This 109-nucleotide transfer RNA is filed under the name Armillaria borealis. It matches the Rfam family "tRNA". Rfam says of the family: Transfer RNA (tRNA) molecules are approximately 80 nucleotides in length. Their secondary structure includes four short double-helical elements and three loops (D, anti-codon, and T loops). The record is from Rfam by way of RNAcentral. Lineage: Eukaryota; Fungi; Basidiomycota; Agaricomycetes; Agaricales; Physalacriaceae.
GGUGAGAUGGCCGAGCGGUUAAGGCGCCAGACUAAGGAUAUGGACCAAAUCACGUGGUGAUUAUAUAAUCUGGUCCGAAAGGGCGUGGGUUCGAAUCCCACUCUCAUCA